UGAAAGCAACAAGCUGCAAGAAUUAGUGUGAUUUGCAGGACAUUGAUCAUCAAUACUUCAAAUACACCUUAUGACCCUGGGUUUCUUCCUAGGGCUACGACUGUCUAGG
This 109-nucleotide ribosomal RNA is filed under the name Xenopus laevis (African clawed frog). Its description in RNAcentral is "5.8S ribosomal RNA". It matches the Rfam family "5.8S ribosomal RNA", at positions 40 to 149 of the family's 154-position model. From Rfam's summary of the family: 5.8S ribosomal RNA (5.8S rRNA) is a component of the large subunit of the eukaryotic ribosome. The record is from Rfam by way of RNAcentral. Lineage: Eukaryota; Metazoa; Chordata; Amphibia; Anura; Pipidae.